GAUAUCUGAAAUAUAUAUGAAAAGAUCCACCAGGGCCCAGGAAAAAUAUGCCCUCGUAAAAGUAAAAGAAUGUCCCUGCUAUUUAAAAGAAGAUCUGCACUAAUAGAAGGAGGCCGAGGAGAAGCAGAAUAAGCAAAGUAAACGCCCGAAAAAUAAGAACAUAACAUCUUCAACAUUCCGUAGCUACUCAUUCAGAAAAUCAGAAGCACCUGAACUAACAACAGAAAAAGUGUCCUGAAAUAGAAUCACACCACGAGAUGGUGGCUGACAUGACCUGCAACACAUAAGAAAAUAAGCAUCCAGGGAAGAUAGGCAGGCAGGCCAAGCAACUAAAUUAGAACGCAUACACCCAUUUCUUCCACAGAGCGAUGCCUGUAAUACCUUUAUUUUUUUUCAUUACCAAAUGUGAGAACGCAGGGUUAUUUUUUCAUUAACAAAUGUGAGAAUGCAGGGCGGAGAAGGAUGAGGAGGCGGCGACGGAAGCUCUAUUACCUCACACAUCCAUUCGAAGUAAUCACCUGGAGACGAAAGAGCAUAUUAGGAUCUAGGAAUUAACAUAACCUCCAUUGCUUUGUUCAUACACACUCAAUUCUGAAAAAAGGAAAACAUCAGCUUCAGCAGCAAACAAAUAGAAUCUGAAAAUUGUGUAUAUAUACUGAGAAAAGAAAAAUAGGAAUGCAAACUGUCCUAUUACUCCCACUUACUCCCACAUGAGAAGAGCCAAAACUAUUUUCAAGCAGUAUUAUAAGCUAGCUUUAGAUUUUAUUCCAUAGUAAUCAGAACAGUUUUGCAAGGUAGCUCUAGAUUUUAUAAAAUUCAAAUAAGAAGCACAUGCACACAUGAUUGUACAACUGAUGCAUCACCCUCUUCUUGGAAUAGCCCACGGCUGAUACAUAUAGAUGAAAAUUCCAUCCAAACAUGCUAGUGUUUUUAGGCCAUUAAAUGGAGGGUGAUGCAUAUUUUGUGUGUGAAGUCCCUAUUGACUCACACAACAAACAUUGGUGUUUUACCAGGCCCACUAUUUUAAAAUUUCAGUAAACAAAACCCAUAACCCAAUAUUAAUAGAGGGAUUUUCUCCUAAGCAUACAGACUGCUAAUUAUGUUUGCUGCCCCACCUGAACUACCACACCUUGAAUCCUGCAACCUGAAUGAUCAGAACCUCCAACCUAAAAACAGUGGAAUGAUUGCUAUUUCUGGUAAAGUAGAUAAUCAAAUUAACCACUACAGAAAAAUUAAGAACAACCAACCUGAACUAUUGCAUGAAAGAUAAAGCAGUCUCUAUUCUUUAUUCUUUGUGAGUUGAGUGACCCCUUCCAGAGGAAAUGGCCAAGUUGUCCAUAAAAUGGGGCACUCAAAAAUGCAGACUUCCCUCUUAAAUGUUGCAACAGUAUAGCUGACGACAUUCAACAAUGAUUAAAAUAAUUUAUGAUUCUGUGUACAUAAAGCAGUACCUACAAAAUCCUUGUCUAGAGGCAAAAGAAAUAUUUUAGCGCUAGAAGCAGGAAAGAGAGCUACAAAAAGCACACAGUUUUGACAAUUUCAGCUACCAAUUUUUAGAAAAAGAAAUCAAUGGAACGUUUUAUUGUGGAUUGGCUAAUUAUCUCCUUUUCAGCAAUUUUACCUACAAUUUUUUUUUUGUUACCUACAAAUUUUUAGCAAAACAGAGAUAAACUCCACAAUAUGAAGUAGGAGCAAGACGCGGCUAAACGAUUCUGGAACCUCACCUUACAAAUUGAUGGAACCGACGCCUCACGACCCAUCAAAGCACCAGGACAUGCAAAGAAAAAAAUAAUGCUUCAGCC
Molecule: long non-coding RNA, 1802 nt
Filed under: Triticum aestivum (bread wheat)
Lineage: Eukaryota; Viridiplantae; Streptophyta; Magnoliopsida; Poales; Poaceae
Description: long non-coding RNA (TAES_LNC026368)
Source: RNAcentral